GACGAACGCUGGCGGCGUGCUUAACACAUGCAAGUCGAACGGAGAGGCCCCUUUGGGGGUACUCGAGUGGCGAACGGGUGAGUAACACGUGAGUAACCUGCCCUUGACUUCGGGAUAACUUCAGGAAACUGGGGCUAAUACCGGAUAGGAAUCCUUGCUGCAUGGUGGGGGUUGGAAAGCUUCGGCGGUUUUGGAUGGACUCGCGGCUUAUCAGCUUGUUGGUGGGGUAGUGGCUUACCAAGGCUUUGACGGGUAGCCGGCCUGAGAGGGCGACCGGCCACAGUGGGACUGAGAUACGGCCCAGACUCCGACGGGAGGCAGCAGGGGGGAAUAUUGCACAAUGGGCGGAAGCCUGAUGCAGCAACGCCGCGUGCGGGAUGACGGCCUUCGGGUUGUAAACCGCUUUCAGCAGGGGCGAAGCUUGUGGUGACGGUACCUGCAGAAGAAGCACCGGCUAACUACGUG
RNAcentral lists this ribosomal RNA (465 nucleotides) under uncultured bacterium. RNAcentral's name for it is "partial 16S ribosomal RNA". It matches the Rfam family "Bacterial small subunit ribosomal RNA", at positions 28 to 507 of the family's 1533-position model. The record is from RNAcentral.